RNAcentral lists this transfer RNA (72 nucleotides) under Rhipicephalus sanguineus (brown dog tick). RNAcentral's name for it is "transfer RNA lysine (anticodon CUU)". It matches the Rfam family "tRNA". Rfam says of the family: Transfer RNA (tRNA) molecules are approximately 80 nucleotides in length. Lineage: Eukaryota; Metazoa; Arthropoda; Arachnida; Ixodida; Ixodidae. The record is from Rfam by way of RNAcentral.
GCCGCCGUAGCUCAGUGGUAGAGCAUCGGACUCUUUACUCGAAGGUCGCAGGUUCGGUCCUUGCCGGUGGCA